Molecule: ribosomal RNA, 253 nt
Filed under: uncultured bacterium
Lineage: Bacteria
Description: partial 16S ribosomal RNA
Rfam family: Bacterial small subunit ribosomal RNA
Source: RNAcentral
UACGUAGGGGGCAAGCGUUGCCCGGAAUCAUUGGGCGUAAAGCGCGCGUAGGCGGCCCUGUAAGUCCGCUGUAAAAGUCAAAGGCUCAACCUUUGAAAGCCGGUGGAUACUGCAGGGCUAGAGUCCGGAAGAGGCGAGUGGAAUUCCUGGUGUAGCGGUGGAAUGCGCAGAUAUCAGGAGGAACACCGGUGGCGAAGGCGGAUUCCUGGACCAGUUCUGACACUGAGGAGCGAAAGCUAGGGGAGCAAACAGG